GUGUCAGCAGCCGCGGUAAGACGAGGGGUCCUAGCGUUGUUCGGAAUUAUUGGGCGUAAAGCGGGUGUAGGUGGCUCUGUAAGUCAGGAGUGAAAUCCCCGAGCUUAACUCGGGAAGUGCUUUUGAAACUGCAGAGCUUGAAUGUGGGAGAGGAUCGUGGAAUUCCAGGUGUAGUGGUGAAAUACGUAGAUAUCUGGAGGAACACCGGUGGCGAAGGCGGCGAUCUGGCCCAACAUUGACACUGAGACCCGAAAGCGUGGGGAUCAAACAGGAUUAGAUACCCUGGUAGUCCACGCCGUAAACGAUGAACACUUGGUGUUGGAGGUAUUGACCCCUUCAGUGCCGAAGCUAACGCGUUAAGUGUUCCGCCUGGGGAGUACGGCCGCAAGGUUAAA
Molecule: ribosomal RNA, 395 nt
Filed under: uncultured bacterium
Lineage: Bacteria
Description: bacterial SSU rRNA
Rfam family: Bacterial small subunit ribosomal RNA
Source: RNAcentral